GGGACUACUAGGGUUUCUAAUCCUGUUUGCUCCCCACGCUUUCGUGCAUGAGCGUCAGUGUUGGCCCAGAAGGCUGCCUUCGCCAUUGGUGUUCCUCCACAUCUCUACGCAUUUCACCGCUACACGUGGAAUUCCACCUUCCUCUGCCACACUCCAGCCACGUAGUUUCGAGCGCAAUUCCCAAGUUAAGCCCGGGGCUUUCACACUCGACUUGCGCGGCCGCCUGCGCACACUUUACGCCCAGUAAUUCCGAUUAACGCUCGCACCCUACGUAUUACCGCGGCUGCUGGCACGUAGUUAGCCGGUGCUUCUUCUUACGGUACCGUCAUCCACGCGACUUGUUAGAUCGCGCGAUUUCGUUCCGUCCGAAAGUGCUUUACAACCCGAAGGCCUUCUUCAC
Molecule: unclassified non-coding RNA, 400 nt
Filed under: uncultured fungus
Lineage: Eukaryota; Fungi
Description: sequence contains ITS1
Source: RNAcentral